Molecule: long non-coding RNA, 896 nt
Organism: Cervus elaphus (red deer)
Lineage: Eukaryota; Metazoa; Chordata; Mammalia; Artiodactyla; Cervidae
Exons: 4
Source: RefSeq, a predicted model, not a curated record
CAUUUACAUACACACUCACUUGCACUCCCCAACAACACUUCCUUUGAAAAACAGAAUGUCACUUCCUCAAUCCAGAGGCCAGAAGUCCCUUGGUUCUGAUCUGGGGAGCCAAGACAGGAAACUCUGAACCUCCAAGCAUGGUGCCAGGCACAAAAUAGAUGUUCAGUAAACGUUUGAGAAUGAAGGAACCAACCCUUAAAGGACGACAAGUGAGGUUGUGGACCCUUGGGGCAUCCAGAACUCUGGAUCAUCCACACCAGUAUCUGAGAGGGCACCUGGGAUCAAGAAACUUGAAAAGCAAAGAAGCCAUCACCCUCCUACUGCACGUUAUUUAUCAGGAAUUCCUCAUCUAAAUAAUUUCCUGACCAACAAAUAUUCUGAAAUAAUAUGUAAGUGUGAUAAAAAGAUAACAGGAGGAAGAACAACCACUAUGGGCUAUAAGAUGACAGGAAGGAGGCACUGGAGAUGUCAAGCCCUUCUAACGUUGCGACUGGUGUCACAGGGUGCUUGGGUAGCAGCUGAGUGGACGGCACAGGGAAGCAUUCCUCGACCAAGAGAAAGACCUGCUUUCAGGAUACACUGCCUGGUGAACACCCUAGUGGGGUGCAGCCCUUCCGGGAAGGACAGACUGUCCCAACCGAGCAGUUAUAGAGUCUAUUAUGGAGAAGAGAUGGCUGAGGAGAAGGAAGUGUGAGGUGGUUUCUCAUUUAUUAUAUUUGCAUGCCAUGGAGAAGCAGGUUCUGUUACUAUCAGGUUACAAUCAAGAUUUCUCCAAGGAUUAAAAAAAAAGCUCUCUCUUGGGUUUCCCUGUUGGCUCAGUGGUAAAGAAUCCGCCUGCCAAUGCAGAAGAUCGGGGUUCAAUACUUGAUCUGGGAAGAUCCCCCAGGCCUCGGAGC